AUUGAACGCUGGCGGCAGGCUUAACACAUGCAAGUCGAGCGGGGUGAUGGUGCUUGCACUAUCACUUAGCGGCGGACGGGUGAGUAAUGCUUAGGAAUCUGCCUAUUAGUGGGGGACAACAUCUCGAAAGGGAUGCUAAUACCGCAUACGUCCUACGGGAGAAAGCAGGGGAUCACUUGUGACCUUGCGCUAAUAGAUGAGCCUAAGUCGGAUUAGCUAGUUGGUGGGGUAAAGGCCUACCAAGGCGACGAUCUGUAGGGGGUCUGAGAGGAUGAUCCGCCACACUGGGACUGAGACACGGCCCAGACUCCUACGGGAGGCAGCAGUGGGGAAUAUUGGACAAUGGGGGGAACCCUGAUCCAGCCAUGCCGCGUGUGUGAAGAAGGCCUUAUGGUUGUAAAGCACUUUAAGCGAGGAGGAGGCUCCUUUGGUUAAUACCCAAGAUGAGUGGACGUUACUCGCAGAAUAAGCACCGGCUAACUCUGUGCCAGCCGCCGCAGUAA
RNAcentral lists this ribosomal RNA (503 nucleotides) under uncultured bacterium. RNAcentral describes it as "partial 16S ribosomal RNA". It matches the Rfam family "Bacterial small subunit ribosomal RNA", at positions 30 to 523 of the family's 1533-position model. The record is from RNAcentral.